UUAAUAAGCACCUGGCUACAGAGCAUUAAAUGCUUUGCAUGUCGGGGUGUGCAUUGUUGUAUCAUUUGAUCCAAUAGUGCACACCUCCGCAUGUAGAGCAUUAAAUGCUCUGUAUCUGGGUGCUUAUUGA
Molecule: microRNA precursor, 130 nt
Filed under: Picea abies (Norway spruce)
Lineage: Eukaryota; Viridiplantae; Streptophyta; Pinopsida; Pinales; Pinaceae
Description: miR11513 stem-loop (pab-MIR11513)
Source: miRBase by way of RNAcentral